This 46-nucleotide non-coding RNA is filed under the name Schistosoma curassoni. Lineage: Eukaryota; Metazoa; Platyhelminthes; Trematoda; Strigeidida; Schistosomatidae. The record is from RNAcentral.
ACACUGCUGAGGAAUCCCACAAUAGGAUGAAACGACCGUCCAGUGC